Zophobas morio is the source of this 399-nucleotide long non-coding RNA. RefSeq lists it as uncharacterized. The transcript has 3 exons. Lineage: Eukaryota; Metazoa; Arthropoda; Insecta; Coleoptera; Tenebrionidae. The record is from RefSeq and is a predicted model, not a curated record.
UCAUUCGUCUACGAACUUGGCGACAGGUCUUCCAAAUUAUCAUCGUGGAUGAUACUCAGAGUUGGUUCUAGAUGGAGAUGGAGUUUUGUGCAAACCAAAGCAUUUUCUUUUAGCAAACAUCCCCUUAAUGGUAUGUUUUGUGGUGGUCGAAGAGACGUUAUCCUAUUAUUUUUCAUCGUGAGUUAGCAUUGAAAGCAUUUAAAGCGAUACAGGUAUCAAUAUGUCGAAGAUAACUCAAAUUAAUUUAUGGAUUGAACCUUUUCCUGAACUUAUUCUUCAAGAAGGAACUGUGUUUUGUCGCGCCUGCUCUAGACCGAUACAUACUACCUAUAGAAUCACCGGAAAAACUUUUUGUUGGAAUAUUUCGAAACCUAUCUAAAAAGAAAUUGUUAUCAAAAU